This 1553-nucleotide ribosomal RNA is filed under the name Salmonella enterica subsp. enterica serovar Typhimurium var. 5-. RNAcentral's name for it is "bacterial SSU rRNA". It matches the Rfam family "Bacterial small subunit ribosomal RNA". The record is from RNAcentral. Lineage: Bacteria; Pseudomonadati; Pseudomonadota; Gammaproteobacteria; Enterobacterales; Enterobacteriaceae.
UAAAUUGAAGAGUUUGAUCAUGGCUCAGAUUGAACGCUGGCGGCAGGCCUAACACAUGCAAGUCGAACGGUAACAGGAAGCAGCUUGCUGCUUCGCUGACGAGUGGCGGACGGGUGAGUAAUGUCUGGGAAACUGCCUGAUGGAGGGGGAUAACUACUGGAAACGGUGGCUAAUACCGCAUAACGUCGCAAGACCAAAGAGGGGGACCUUCGGGCCUCUUGCCAUCAGAUGUGCCCAGAUGGGAUUAGCUUGUUGGUGAGGUAACGGCUCACCAAGGCGACGAUCCCUAGCUGGUCUGAGAGGAUGACCAGCCACACUGGAACUGAGACACGGUCCAGACUCCUACGGGAGGCAGCAGUGGGGAAUAUUGCACAAUGGGCGCAAGCCUGAUGCAGCCAUGCCGCGUGUAUGAAGAAGGCCUUCGGGUUGUAAAGUACUUUCAGCGGGGAGGAAGGUGUUGUGGUUAAUAACCGCAGCAAUUGACGUUACCCGCAGAAGAAGCACCGGCUAACUCCGUGCCAGCAGCCGCGGUAAUACGGAGGGUGCAAGCGUUAAUCGGAAUUACUGGGCGUAAAGCGCACGCAGGCGGUCUGUCAAGUCGGAUGUGAAAUCCCCGGGCUCAACCUGGGAACUGCAUUCGAAACUGGCAGGCUUGAGUCUUGUAGAGGGGGGUAGAAUUCCAGGUGUAGCGGUGAAAUGCGUAGAGAUCUGGAGGAAUACCGGUGGCGAAGGCGGCCCCCUGGACAAAGACUGACGCUCAGGUGCGAAAGCGUGGGGAGCAAACAGGAUUAGAUACCCUGGUAGUCCACGCCGUAAACGAUGUCUACUUGGAGGUUGUGCCCUUGAGGCGUGGCUUCCGGAGCUAACGCGUUAAGUAGACCGCCUGGGGAGUACGGCCGCAAGGUUAAAACUCAAAUGAAUUGACGGGGGCCCGCACAAGCGGUGGAGCAUGUGGUUUAAUUCGAUGCAACGCGAAGAACCUUACCUGGUCUUGACAUCCACAGAACUUUCCAGAGAUGGAUUGGUGCCUUCGGGAACUGUGAGACAGGUGCUGCAUGGCUGUCGUCAGCUCGUGUUGUGAAAUGUUGGGUUAAGUCCCGCAACGAGCGCAACCCUUAUCCUUUGUUGCCAGCGAUUAGGUCGGGAACUCAAAGGAGACUGCCAGUGAUAAACUGGAGGAAGGUGGGGAUGACGUCAAGUCAUCAUGGCCCUUACGACCAGGGCUACACACGUGCUACAAUGGCGCAUACAAAGAGAAGCGACCUCGCGAGAGCAAGCGGACCUCAUAAAGUGCGUCGUAGUCCGGAUUGGAGUCUGCAACUCGACUCCAUGAAGUCGGAAUCGCUAGUAAUCGUGGAUCAGAAUGCCACGGUGAAUACGUUCCCGGGCCUUGUACACACCGCCCGUCACACCAUGGGAGUGGGUUGCAAAAGAAGUAGGUAGCUUAACCUUCGGGAGGGCGCUUACCACUUUGUGAUUCAUGACUGGGGUGAAGUCGUAACAAGGUAACCGUAGGGGAACCUGCGGUUGGAUCACCUCCUUACCUUAAAGAA